UUUGAUCAUGGCUCAGAACGAACGCUGGCGGCAGGCCUAACACAUGCAAGUCGAACGAGAAGCCACCUUCGGGUGGUGGAAAGUGGCAGACGGGUGAGUAACGCGUGGGAACGUGCCUUUCGGUUCGGGAUAACCCAGGAAACUUGGGCUAAUACCGGAUACGCCCUUCGGGGGAAAGAUUCAUCGCCGAAAGAUCGGCCCGCGUCGGAUUAGCUUGUUGGUGGGGUAAUGGCCUACCAAGCGACGAUCCGUAGCUGGUCUGAGAGGAUGACCAGCCACACUGGGACUGAGACACGGCCCAGACUCCUACGGGAGGCAGCAGUGGGGAAUAUUGGACAAUGGGCGAAAGCCUGAUCCAGCCAUGCCGCGUGGGUGAAGAAGGCCUUAGGGUUGUAAACCCCUUUCAGCGGGGAAGAUAAUGACGGUACCCGCAGAAGAAGUCCCGGCUAACUCCGUGCCAGCAGCCGCGGUAAUACGGAGGGGACUAGCGUUGUUCGGAAUUACUGGGCGUAAAGCGCGCGUAGGCGGAUUUGCAAGUCGGGGGUGAAAGCCCGAGGCUCAACCUCGGAACUGCCUUCGAUACUGCAGAUCUCGAGUCCGAGAGAGGUGAGUGGAAUUCCUAGUGUAGAGGUGAAAUUCGUAGAUAUUAGGAAGAACACCAGUGGCGAAGGCGGCUCACUGGCUCGGUACUGACGCUGAGGCGCGAAAGCGUGGGGAGCAACAGGAUUAGAUACCCUGGUAGUCCACGCGUAACUAUGGGUGCUAGCGUCGGGGAGCUGCUCUUCGGUGGCGCAGCAAACGCUA
This 804-nucleotide ribosomal RNA is filed under the name uncultured bacterium. RNAcentral describes it as "bacterial SSU rRNA". It matches the Rfam family "Bacterial small subunit ribosomal RNA", at positions 12 to 860 of the family's 1533-position model. The record is from RNAcentral.